This 507-nucleotide ribosomal RNA is filed under the name uncultured bacterium. Its description in RNAcentral is "partial 16S ribosomal RNA". The record is from RNAcentral.
GGAGUUAGCCGGUGCUUCUUCUGUGAGUGAUGUCCUUCCUGCCGGCUAUUAACCCGCAGGCCUUCUUCCUCACUGAAAGUGCUUUACAACCCGAAGGCCUUCUUCACACACGCGGCAUGGCUGGAUCAGGGUUGCCCCCAUUGUCCAAUAUUCCCCACUGCUGCCUCCCGUAGGAGUCUGGGCCGUGUCUCAGUCCCAGUGUGGCUGAUCAUCCUCUCAGACCAGCUACGGAUCGUCGCCUUGGUGAGCCGUUACCUCACCAACCAGCUAAUCCGACAUAGGCUCAUCCGAUAGCGCGAGGCCCGAAGGUCCCCCGCUUUCCCCCGUAGGGCGUAUGCGGUAUUAGCCUGGGUUUCCCCAGGUUAUCCCCCACUACCGGGCAGAUUCCUAUGCAUUACUCACCCGUCCGCCGCUCGCCACCAGGGAGCAAGCUCCCCGUGCUGCCGCUCGACUUGCAUGUGUUAGGCCUGCCGCCAGCGUUCAAUCUAAGCCAGAAUCAAACUCUGA